GAGACCCGUACCCACAGUUGCCAGCGGCUGCUCCGGCAGGCUGGGUACACUAUGGGGACCGCCUCUGCUAAAGAGGAGGAAGGAGCGGGCGACGGUAGGUCAGUAUGCCCCGAAUUCUCCGGGCUACACGCGGGCUACAAUGGAUGGGACAAUGGGCUCCGACACCGAAAGGUGAAGGCAAUCUCUUAAACCCAUUCUUAGUUCGGAUUGAGGGCUGAAACUCGCCCUCAUGAAGCUGGAAUCCGUAGUAAUCGCGUUUCAACAUAGCGCGGUGAAUAC
This 279-nucleotide ribosomal RNA is filed under the name uncultured archaeon. RNAcentral describes it as "partial 16S rRNA". It matches the Rfam family "Archaeal small subunit ribosomal RNA", at positions 1047 to 1325 of the family's 1478-position model. The record is from RNAcentral.